CCCUUAGAUGUUCUGGGCCGCACGCGCGCUACACUGACGAAUGCAACGAGCUUAUAACCUUGGCCGAAAGGUCUGGGUAAUCUCCAAAUUUCGUCGUGAUGGGGAUAGAUUAUUGCAAUUAUUAAUCUUCAACGAGGAAUGCCUAGUAAGCGCAAGUCAUCAGCUUGCGUUGAUUACGUCCCUGCCCUUUGUACACACCGCCCGUCGCUCCUACCGAUUGGAUGGUCCGGUGAAGCGCUCGGACCGCGGCCUCUUGACGGUUUUCCGUCGAUUGGCUGUGGGAAGUUCGUUAAACCUUAUCAUUUAGAGGAAGGAGAAGUCGUAACA
RNAcentral lists this ribosomal RNA (327 nucleotides) under uncultured eukaryote. Its description in RNAcentral is "partial 18S ribosomal RNA". It matches the Rfam family "Eukaryotic small subunit ribosomal RNA", at positions 1470 to 1796 of the family's 1831-position model. The record is from RNAcentral.